GAUGAACGCUGGCGGCGUGCUUAACACAUGCAAGUCGAACGGGAAUUAUUUUAUUGAAACUUCGGUCGAUUUAAUUUAAUUCUAGUGGCGGACGGGUGAGUAACGCGUGGGUAACCUGCCUUAUACAGGGGGAUAACAGUCAGAAAUGGCUGCUAAUACCGCAUAAGCGCACAGGCCUGCAUGGCUCAGGGGAAAAAACUCCGGUGGUAUAAGAUGGACCCGCGUUGGAUUAGCUGGUUGGUGGGGUAACGGCCCACCAAGGCGACGAUCCAUAGCCGGCCUGAGAGGGUGAACGGCCACAUUGGGACUGAGACACGGCCCAGACUCCUACGGGAGGCAGCAGUGGGGAAUAUUGCACAAUGGGGGAAACCCUGAUGCAGCGACGCCGCGUGAAGGAAGAAGUAUCUCGGUAUGUAAACUUCUAUCAGCAGGGAAGAUAGUGACGGUACCUGACUAAGAAGCCCCGGCUAACUACGUG
This 478-nucleotide ribosomal RNA is filed under the name uncultured bacterium. RNAcentral's name for it is "partial 16S ribosomal RNA". It matches the Rfam family "Bacterial small subunit ribosomal RNA", at positions 28 to 507 of the family's 1533-position model. The record is from RNAcentral.